GUGUCAGCAGCCGCGGUAAUACGUAGGUGACAAGCGUUGUCCGGAUUUACUGGGCGUAAAGAGCGCGCAGGCGGUCGUUCAAGUCGAGUGUGAAAGCCCCCGGCUCAACUGGGGAGGGUCACUCGAUACUGAUCGACUCGAAGGCAGGAGAGGGUAGUGGAAUUCCCGGUGUAGUGGUGAAAUGCGUAGAUAUCGGGAGGAACACCAGUGGCGAAGGCGGUUGCCUGGAGCUUUGCUGACGCUGAGGCACGAAAGCUAGGGGAGCAAACAGGAUUAGAAACCCUCGUAGUCC
This 292-nucleotide ribosomal RNA is filed under the name uncultured bacterium. RNAcentral's name for it is "partial 16S ribosomal RNA". It matches the Rfam family "Bacterial small subunit ribosomal RNA", at positions 505 to 796 of the family's 1533-position model. The record is from RNAcentral.